CAGUAGCCGCGGGAAUACGAAGGGGGCUAGCGUUGUUCGGAAUUACUGGGCGUAAAGGGCGCGUAGGCGGCCAUUCAAGUUAGAUGUGAAAGCCCUGGGCUCAACCUAGGAAUUGCAUUUGAUACUGUUUGGCUUGAGUUCGGGAGAGGUGAGUGGAAUUCCCAGUGUAGAGGUGAAAUUCGUAGAUAUUGGGAAGAACACCAGUGGCGAAGGCGGCUCACUGGACCGACACUGACGCUGAGGCGCGAAAGCGUGGGGAGCAAACAGGAUUAGAUACCCCAGUAGUCCCUGUCUCUUAUAU
RNAcentral lists this ribosomal RNA (301 nucleotides) under uncultured bacterium. RNAcentral's name for it is "partial 16S ribosomal RNA". It matches the Rfam family "Bacterial small subunit ribosomal RNA", at positions 509 to 809 of the family's 1533-position model. The record is from RNAcentral.